UAAUGUCGGGUUAUGUGCGAAAUUUGUGGUAGCAUAGCCUUGUUCCAAUCCACCAAAUGCUGGAAUGCAAGAAAAUAACAGUAGUUCGUUAUUAUUAUUACAACAUAACCAAGGAUUUUUGUAAAUAAUAUUAAAACUAAAUGUAAUUCCAAUUGUCAUAGCUGCCGGAUAUUAAUAAAACAAACGUUAGUUAUUGUUCAAAUAAUGCAUUCAAUUUGACUUCUUUUAAAAAUUUGGCACCACUGCCAGGAAUCAUACACAGAGAACGUAUAUCAUAAUUUACGUUCUCUGCGUAUACGUUCUCUGCAUACAGUCAAAGAAUGUCAACAAAUUGGCAUUGAGUUCCUACAGUUGCUGUCAUAUACAAAAAAGUCAAAAUCGUAGAGCGUAAACUUCAAAAUUUUUCAAAUUUUAUUUUGAAAAUUUUUAUUUUUACAAUUCGUGAGAAGAAUAUUUAUUUUGUCUGAGUUUAUAUAGCAGUAAAAGCAGUAAAACGGAGGGAAAUAAGCGAAGAAACGAGAGCAGCUCUUUCAUGAGCAACGGAGGAGUAGUAGAGUCACGCAGUAAAAGUGCAAUAUCUGCGACAUCGGUGAAACCCAUGGAAACAUUAAAGGGUAUUUUCAGUGUCCCCAAGAUGGAUCGUAACCGUCGAAACUUCCUGAGGGAGAAUAAAUUGAGUUUACGUGAAUUACAAAGAGUGACUAAUAAAAGUAAAAUGCAACAGCAGCAAGAACAACUGUUACGGGAACAAAAGUACGCUGGACGCCGUUCACAAUCUCAACAACGUAACAAUAACAUUUGUUUGGAUAAACAAACGGUGGCACGUUGUCCUUCAUUAUCACGCGUUCCCAGCGGCCGUGUUAUGGGACCUUCUGUUGCUGGUAGUGUCGGCGAUUGUGCAAAUCAUAUUAGUAGGCGCAGCGUUUCGCGAACAAAUAGCACGACGACAAUCAAAUCUGUACAUAAGCAAGUGCAAACUGAAGACAUACAAGACGAACAAUUUCUUUACGACGCAUUGAAGCGUUGUACUACCAACGAAUGUCAGUCACGUUUUAAUGGUUUACAACCAAACUUCACGCCACGUUCACAACAUACCGCAAACGAUGCGCAAAGCCGACACUCGUUUUAUCCAUCAGCCGAUGAGGACCAAAGGUGUCUGGGGAAUACAGAUGACCGCAUGUUUGCUACGCAACAACAAAUGGAGGAUCCAUACGUGCAACGUGAAGAUACCAAUAAUUAUGGGCAACAAUAUAAUGGACAGCAACAUGGCGAAGUAAUUGGAGGUGAUGAUGCAGAUACAGUGAAUAAUGAAAAUGUUGAACGCUUGUAUGCGCCCGAAUCAUCAUCAAAGUACAAUUUUGCACCAACACCACGCUCUCAAAAACACUUCACCAAUGGAUAUAAUAUGGUGGAAAGUGAUGGAUUACCACCAACUACGACAAUGCAAUCAUCAUAUGAACCACCAGAUCAACAGCAACAGCAACCACCAUUGCGUUACCGUAUGCAACCUCAUGUACAAGGUGAUUUACGUGCCAAUUUCGAAAAUAUGUCUUUAAACAACGGCUACGGCGGCGGUGCUGACUGCGAUGUUGGCGUUGAUGAAGAUUGUGGUGCCAUAGGAAACAGUGGUGGUGUUGAGGCUGUUUCCAUAUCCGGCCGUAGUCGACGUACGAAUAUCUCACAUACUUCACAGCACAGCAACACAGAUUUGGCCAAGAAGCGCUCUAGUGGUAGCAUACACAAACUAGGUUCUCGAGAUAAUAUAAGUCUGCCUCGUUAUUUGGAGCGUGAAAAACGUGAAAAGGAGGAACAUCGGCAACGUCAAAGUGAACGCGAUCCCAAUUGCCCACCUGGACAUUAUCCGCUAUCGGAUAAGGAGCGUCAGGCAGCACUUCAGUCAGCUGAAAAUAGAUUCAAAGCACUUGUAAAUGAACUAAAUCGCAUGCCUAUGACAACUGAAACUUUACGUAUGCGCGUGCGCAAAGCCGAAAUCGAGAAAGAACUGAAACUGCUCGAAACCGAUAUACGGGUAUUCUCCAAGUCUAAGGUGUAUGUGAAGCAUAAGGAACAGAAUAUUUGAAAUAAACACUUUUGUGCGUAAAUGUAUAUGUUUGACUACAGCCAGCGCGGCGAAGAAAUGCAUUCCAAUGUUUAGCCAUCGAGGUGUGUGUUCGUAUAUUUGUGCGAUUAUAUAACUAACUACGUGAUUUCUGAUAUGCAACAUUGCAUGUGUGUGCGAGUUGGAUAUUUGUUUUUAAAGCUACAUAUGUAUAUGUAAACAGAACAGAAAACCACCUAAUUCUUAGGUACGGAUAUCUACUAAUGAAAUAUAUUAUUUCUUAUAUUAUAUAAAUAUGCAAGUAAAUAUUUGUAUGAAAACCAAGAAUCUAUUGAUAUACAUUUUUAUGUAAUUAACUACCUGAAAACUUUGAAAUCUAUUUAAAUUUGAUAUAAACUGAAAAUAAUUACUUCAAAUUAAAUAGCAUUUGCAUUUAAGACGAUUAUAAUAUGAAACAAAACUGAAAAAAUAUUUAUUUAACAGCGUAUGUAAAGAAAUAAAAUGAAUUUAUAUUUAAAAUUCGCUUCGCAGCUUUACGUAAUGAUUUUACUGUAAAACUUUUUGAAACAUGAUUGACCAUACCCCAUAUAAACGCAGAUCUUCUGAGCUGUGUUGAAACACUGACAGAAGAUAUAUGUAGCUGCCAUAUAAACUGAUCGAUCAACCAGAGAACAUAAAAUAUGUGCAAAUGCAAACAAUAAAACAAACCACAUCGCGGCGUGAGAUUCAUCUGGUACGGUGCCUGCUUUACUUUUGUAGAGCCAGCUGGCAGCCAGCUUCCCGUGAGGUCACCUUCUGACUUUUAAAUCUCAUAACAUCGAGGCAAAAGAGUUACUGACCAGGCAUAGUUAAAAAUGUACACAUAGCAUUAAUUCAUUCUCUGGUUCCCUCAUCAAAUUUCUCUGCUUGAUCAUGUUAUCAAAGCUGUAAUUCUAUAGAUUCCAUUCUGCUAAAGAUCAAAACAAUGUUAAUAUUUUACUAGGGGAAUUCCUUGGUUGUGACCUGUAUUCCCCGAUUAAAAUUUUUCAAAUGUUUACUCUCGAACCUGCAUGUUACCGUUCUUUUAAGUUCUCUGAUUAUACGUUCUCUUGAUCCGCAUCAAGUUCUUGCACAGAAAACUUUUUUUUUUCGAAAAAAUAUCAUCAGAAGAUUUUGUACAGAUAAUUGUCCAAAUCAGCGCUACAAUCACCGAACAAAUUGUUCAGAUUGAACCAAUAUUGUAUAUAGCUGCCGUUCAACUGAUCGAUUAAAAUUAAGAUAAAGAUCUUUUUAUAUACUUUAAUGGUAUAAAAAAUGCACCUAAGAAGACUAUAAUAGCUUUGAUGUAAGCGAAGUUAAUGUUUUUUCUGACACUUAACCUUCGAAUUUAAGUCGCAGUUGUCAAACUGUAGUGAUUUUUAGAUCCAUCCAUACAUACAUAGUACAUUUGUACUUAAUUUACUUUUUCUAAAAAAUAUUAUCCUAUCUUAUCUAUAUUGCUGUUAACUAGUGUAAGCAAAGUUAUUUGGUUAUCGCUAAAUAGAUGCCAGAAGAGAUACACCCAAAGUGUUUGUGAUAAUUACUAUUUCUUUAAAUUAUUGCGUC
Bactrocera oleae (olive fruit fly) is the source of this 3643-nucleotide RNA transcript. RefSeq lists it as uncharacterized. The record is from RefSeq and is a predicted model, not a curated record. Lineage: Eukaryota; Metazoa; Arthropoda; Insecta; Diptera; Tephritidae.